Molecule: long non-coding RNA, 531 nt
Filed under: Mytilus galloprovincialis (Mediterranean mussel)
Lineage: Eukaryota; Metazoa; Mollusca; Bivalvia; Mytilida; Mytilidae
Source: RNAcentral
GUGUUUUUCUAUGCAUGCUACAAAGCUGUCUUUGAAUUAAUCACUAAAUAACUUUGUAAAAUAUGCUUGAGGCUUAAAUGUUUUCUCUUGAAGUAUUAACGGGGGAUAAUAUCAAUAUGUCAAAAGAUCAAUUAUUCUAGAUUAUCGUCCAUGGAAACUUAUGAACUGAUUAUAAGGUGUUUUGAUUCAAAUGGUGGGCUAUUCUUAUGAAUAUAGACAGUUAUUUACAACCUUAUCAUACUCUUCUAAUAUGGAGGUUAAACAAAAGGUAUAUUAAGAGGUUUUACUUAUUAACCUUUUAUAUAAAAGAAUAAACAUACGACCUUUACAAUUUGUUACAAGGAUAUCCAUUUGAUGGUUAUAGGAAAUAUGCAUUAAAGAGGAGAUCCGGGGAAAUAUAUAAAAGCUAUAGUACUUGAACCAUAAUUGCUUGUUCCUUUGCAACUUCCUUGUUGAACUUUUAAAACAAAUAACAUUAUAGUUUCCCAUAGCAAAGCAUUUAACGCUUGAAAAAAACAUCAUCAAAUAUAU